AUACGGAGGGUGCAAACGUUGUUCGGAAUCACUGGGCAUAAAGAGCAUGUAGGCGGCUCGUUAAGUCAGGUGUGAAAUCCCCCGGCUCAACCGGGGAACUGCAUUUGAAACUGACGAGCUCGAGGAUGGUUGGGGUGAGUGGAACUUCAGGUGGAGCGGUGAAAUGCGUAGAUAUCUGAAGGAACACCGGUGGCGAAAGCGGCUCACUGGACCAUUCCUGACGCUGAGAUGCGAAAGCUAGGGUAGCGAACGGGAUUAGAAACCCCAGUAGUCC
This 274-nucleotide ribosomal RNA is filed under the name uncultured bacterium. RNAcentral's name for it is "partial 16S ribosomal RNA". It matches the Rfam family "Bacterial small subunit ribosomal RNA", at positions 523 to 796 of the family's 1533-position model. The record is from RNAcentral.